CUGGUGUUGUACAGGGUUUGCAGCACACAAGCAAGAAGCACAGAAGACACAUUUUGCCCAUGUAAAGGGCAGGCCCAAAAUCUCCAGCAGCUGUGAAGGGCUCCCUGCUGCCAUUUACCCAUUCAGUACAGCUGCUCUGAUUAAAAUGCUUUUAAACAUCAGAAAGUGCUGGGCUUCCAGCCCUUUUCUGUCUUGAAUCAUGAGGACCUUACAGCAGAUUCCAGCAGGGAGAUGUGCAGCUCUCCAGGCUGUGCUCCAAUGAGCUGUCGCUGCCCUGGGACGAUGCUGUGCAGCACCAGGCUCCUGGCCCCAUCCCACCCAGUGCUCUGAUGCUUCUCCCACCAACAGGACUGGUCCCUGUCCCAGGAGAUGGUGCAGGAUCAUACCUCCAGCCCGGGGCCCAGCCAUUCCCAGAAAACACGGUGCUUGCCCGGGCUGUCCAUCCCAGGUUAACUGCUUGCAACAAAAAGCAAAUUCAGUUUUCUAAGUGGAUUCAGCAGGAGUCGCCACUCCUGAUGAUGAGAUGUGACCUGUUUUAAUCACUGCUGUCCACUGUCAGGUGAAAGUUCUGAAACGCAGCCGUGAGAUGAAUAGCAAUGACACGUUUUGGGCAGAGCACUGCAAAAUCAGGCUGCGAAAGACAGCGCUGGCAGAGGUGAUCCUGAGAGUGUCACCAGCCUCUGUCCUCGUGGUUUUCUCCAUUGGUACUUGCUGUAAUUCAUAUGGAAAAAAAAAAACAUGGAAUCACGGAAUGGCUCAGGUUAGAUGGGACCCUAAAGUCCACCCGGUUCCAACCCCUGCUGUGGGCAGGGACACCAUCCUCCAGCUCAGGCUGCCCAGGGCCCCAUCCAGCUUGGCCAGGAGCACCUCCAGGGAUGGGACACCCACAGCCUCCCUGGGCAACAAGAAACAUGAAUGGAAGUUGUGUGCGGGUGUGAGAAAGGCAGCUGGGCUCAGGCCCCCGCCCUGCUGAAUGUCAACACCCAUUUCAGUGACACUGUUGUGCUCUGACCUCUGCCUGGGUUUUGCUGGGACAUGGCUUCUCCACUCUUUGCACCUGGGAACAAACACCUUUGCAAAGGCAAUUUUAGGGAGAAUUAAAGGCUCAUCCGCCUUCCAUCUUAAUUCCUUGUCGUUUAGUUCUCUCAAUAUGAUUUCUACAGUACUGCUUUUGUGCUCAGUGCCUGCCAGCCACUCGAUUUGCCUUGACCUUUCAUGUCUGCACUCUGGCAGUAUUUGUUGUCUUUCUCGAUACUUGAGCUAUUAACAUGUGAAUUACAUCAACUGCUUUUAAUCUUACCUCUUUGUGGUAUUAUGGCAGCUCUGCAUAACACAACACAGUAGUGCAAUGAAUGGUUCAGCUCACUCACUGCGAUGGAAAUGUUUUGUAACUGUUGAUUUUCAUUUUUCUGACCUUUUUAUAAAGGAAUAUAAAAUGAUUAUAUUGAGCUGGCCCCUGCAUCUCCUGCAUGUGGGUGAACCUGAAGGCUGGCUGGAAGACAGCAGGGUAGGAGCUCUGUUUUGGGGCUCUGUUAGUAUUUGAUUUUAGAAUAAACUACAGUUUGGUUCCUUGACAACUAAGCAAUGAUUGGAUAUUAGGAAAAACUUCUUCUCUGAAAGAGUGGUGAGGGACCAGCACAGUUUGCUCAGGCAGGUGGUGGAGUCACCAUCCCUGGAGGUGUUCAAGAAGAGGGUGGAUGUGGCACUGAGGGACGUGGUUUAGUGGACAACAUUGAUGGUGGGUGGAGGGUUGGACAGGAUAAUCUUAGUGAUCUUUUCCAACCUCAAUGGUUCUGUGAUUCGAUGAUUCUAUGAAGGUGUGGAUGUCUUGAGAAGCCACUGUGUGUGUGGUUAAUUGUGGUGAUACAGAUUCCUGGUGGUGCAGACUGUGUUUCUGAAGAUGUCAGUAAGCAAACAAACCUGGUUCACACACCAUCAUCCUGUGCUCAAGGAUCACUGUAGAAGUGUCACCAGAAAAAAUCACACCAAAAAUAGAAAGAUCUUCUGCAUCAUCACAUCCUUCCCAAGGAACCAUCCAGCAG
Long non-coding RNA from Gallus gallus (chicken), 2042 nucleotides. The record is from Ensembl. NCBI's taxonomy places the organism in Eukaryota, Metazoa, Chordata, Aves, Galliformes, Phasianidae.